CGGACGGGUGAGUAAUGUCUGGGAAACUGCCUGAUGGAGGGGGGAGUAACUACUGGAAACGGUAGCUAUACCGCAUAACGUCGCAAGACCAAAGAGGGGGACCUUCGGGCCUCUUGCCAUCGGAUGUGCCCAGAUGGGAUUAGCUAGUUGGUGAGGUAAUGGCUCACCAAGGCGACGAUGCGUAGCCGACCUGAGAGGGUGAUCGGCCACAUUGGGACUGAGACACGGCCCAGACUCCUACGGGAGGCAGCAUG
Molecule: ribosomal RNA, 254 nt
Filed under: uncultured bacterium
Lineage: Bacteria
Description: partial 16S ribosomal RNA
Rfam family: Bacterial small subunit ribosomal RNA
Source: RNAcentral